Lemur catta (Ring-tailed lemur) is the source of this 107-nucleotide small nuclear RNA. The record is from RefSeq and is a predicted model, not a curated record. NCBI's taxonomy places the organism in Eukaryota, Metazoa, Chordata, Mammalia, Primates, Lemuridae.
GUGCUCGCUUUGGCAGCACAUAUACUGAAAUUGGAACGACACAAAGAAGAUUAGCAUGGCCCCUGCACAAGGAUGACAUGCAAAUUUGUGAAUUGUCCCAUAAAAAA